GGCGGCGUGGCCGAAUGGUUUAGGGCGCUGGAUUUAAAAUCUGGCGGUCAUUGGUUCUAAUCUAUGAAGCCAAAUCCUCCACCCUGCCA
RNAcentral lists this transfer RNA (89 nucleotides) under Desmophyllum pertusum. RNAcentral describes it as "tRNA-Leu". Lineage: Eukaryota; Metazoa; Cnidaria; Anthozoa; Scleractinia; Caryophylliidae. The record is from RNAcentral.